GUCUUUUUGUUAAAAAUUUAAAGUCUAACCUGCCCAAUGAUUAUUUUAAUGGCUGCGGUAUUUUGACCGUACAAAGGUAGCAUAAUCAUUAGUUUUUUAAUUGAAAACUUGUAUGAAUGGUUGAACGAGAAAAUUACUGUCUCAAUUUAAAUUUAUUAGAAUUUUAUUUUUAAGUUAAAAAGCUUAAAUAAAAUUAAAAGACGAGAAGACCCUAUAGAGUUUAAUAUUUAUUUUAAAUUAAUUUUAAGAAUUUAAUAAUUUUAUAAUAGAUAUUUUAUUGGGGUGAUAAAUAAAUUUAAUUAACUUUAUUAAAUUUAAAUCAUUAAUUUAUGAAUUAUUGAUCCAAUAUUUUUGAUUAAAAGAUUAAAUUACCUUAGGGAUAACAGCGUAAUUUUUUUUGAGAGUUCUUAUCGAAAAAAAAGAUUGCGACCUCGAUGUUGGAUUAAAAUUAAUUUUUGGUGUAGAAGCUAAAACAUUAAGUCUGUUCGACUUUUAAUUUUUUACAUGAUCUGAGUUUAAAUCGGCGUGAGCCAGAUUGGUUUCUAUCUUUAUUAAAUUAAAAUAUUUUAGUACGAAAGGACCAAAUAUUUAUAAAAUUUAUUUUAUUUUGAAUUU
RNAcentral lists this ribosomal RNA (615 nucleotides) under Ochthebius opacus. Its description in RNAcentral is "partial 16S ribosomal RNA". It matches the Rfam family "Bacterial large subunit ribosomal RNA", at positions 1825 to 2726 of the family's 2925-position model. The record is from RNAcentral. Lineage: Eukaryota; Metazoa; Arthropoda; Insecta; Coleoptera; Hydraenidae.